This is a non-coding RNA of Acanthosepion pharaonis, 100 nucleotides long. NCBI's taxonomy places the organism in Eukaryota, Metazoa, Mollusca, Cephalopoda, Sepiida, Sepiidae. The record is from the annotation of a GenBank genome assembly.
CAUUGAAACAUUGGUUUCUAUAGGAUCACUGAAGUUAAGCAAUAUUGAGCCUGGUUACUUCUUAGAUUGGUGAUCACUUGGGAAUACCAGGUGCUGUAAG